RNAcentral lists this ribosomal RNA (490 nucleotides) under uncultured bacterium. RNAcentral describes it as "partial 16S ribosomal RNA". It matches the Rfam family "Bacterial small subunit ribosomal RNA", at positions 29 to 507 of the family's 1533-position model. The record is from RNAcentral.
AGUGAACGCUGGCGGUAGGCCUAACACAUGCAAGUCGAACGGCAGCACAGGAGAGCUUGCUCUCUGGGUGGCGAGUGGCGGACGGGUGAGGAAUACAUCGGAAUCUGCCCAGUCGUGGGGGAUAACGUAGGGAAACUUACGCUAAUACCGCAUACGACCUUCGGGUGAAAGAGGGGGAUCGCAAGACCUCUCGCGAUUGGAUGAGCCGAUGUCGGAUUAGCUAGUUGGCGGGGUAAUGGCCCACCAAGGCGACGAUCCGUAGCUGGUCUGAGAGGAUGAUCCGCCACACUGGAACUGAGACACGGUCCAGACUCCUACGGGAGGCCGCCGUGGGGAAUAUUGGACAAUGGGCGCAAGCCUGAUCCAGCCAUACCGCGUGGGUGAAGAAGGCCUUCGGGUUGUAAAGCCCUUUUGUUGGGAAAGAAAUCUUUCAGGCUAAUACCCUGGGAGGAUGACGGUACCCAAAGAAUAAGCACCGGCUAACUUCGUG